GUUGUUGAGCUCGUUGGCAGCGGCGGCCGCCGGGGUGCCCAGAGCCCCCGCGGGGGGCUUCCCAGCGGCGUCGCUGCUGCCCCCUCCCGGGGGGGCCGGGCCCGGGGGGUUCUGCUUGGCGCGCAUCUUCUCGCGUUUCGCCUUCCACUCCUCCAGGAAGUCUGUGGUGCUGCCGCCGAGGCCGCUGCUGGUCCGGUAGCCACCGGUCGCCAUAUUCCCAAAGGGGCCGGUCGGGCUCUCACCUCAGGCCGCCCACCAGGGCUCCGGCCGCUGCCUCCUCUUCCUUCCUGCGGCCCCGAGGAUGCCAGGAGACGACCUCCAGGAGAGGGACGGCCGCCGCUCCCACAGCAGCCGGCGGGGCUGAGUGGUGCGAAUAAAGAGCCGAAUAACUUAUGUACUACUCUACAUGUGAUAGGACAAAACUAAGAAAAUUUUAAUAGGCUGGAAAAGAUGUCAUCAUGUGGAGAAUGAUGUGCCAUUAUUUAGUAUAACACAGAGAAAGAAAAAGAUACCAACACUGCCAAUUAAGUAGACAUACCAUCACAUAUAAGAUGAACUUCAACUUCAGAGAUAUCAAAAUGUGAAAAAUAUGUCCUUCUUAAAAGUUAUGAGAGAUGGGGUUUUGCCAUGUUGCUAAGGCUGGUCUCAAACUCCUGAGCUCAAGUGAUCCUCCUACCUCGGCCUCCCAAAGUGUUGGAAUUACAAGGAAUAAAAAAGGAAUUAAGCUCUGAGCACCAAUUUUUAAAAAUCUAUUUUUGAAGAAUGCAAAGGAAAUUUUUCAUGCAGGUGUUAAGAUUUGGGUUUUAGACCCUCUUCUGGCUCACUAAAACCUGGAUUCAGGAAGAAAGAGAAGCACCAGAUAUAGACAGUUCACAAAUUGGAUAUUCUUCUUUCUAGAGCUCUUCGUUCCUAGAUCGAUUUAAGGUACCAAUGUUAGUUAUAUAAUUAUUAUAUUCUUAAGUCUUCUUCUAUACUGUGAAAUAGUGAUACUUCAGAAUUAAAGGUCCAAUCAGGAGCAGUGUAGAAAAGAUGUGAUGCCAGUGAUAUGUAAAGAGCUUUCCAAAAUUUGACAAAAAUAAAUAUGAAGAUCUUUAUCCUUAGAGUACAAGCUCUUAAUUUAAAGCUUUGACUUUCUGGGAAGAUGCUACAUAACAUAUUCAAACUACUUUUUGAGUUCAUGUAAAACUUAGAGUGAAUCAAUACUCAAGACUGAAGACUGUACAGAGAAGAAAAACAAAACUCACACAAAGAUGCAAUCAUAUUACAGUGACAGAAGCAGAAAAGCAAGAAGCAAACAUGCCUAAAAUAUGUGUACUUUGCAAUUUCAGAGGAAUGUAAGAGAAGCUCAUUUCCUCCACUCACAAUGUGUACUAGCCAUUAUUUAUCCAACUGACUUUAUAGCUUUGUAUUUAGGUUGACAUUAUGUGUAGCAUUAAUGCAGUGAAUGUAAUAGAAAAGCAACUGCAGCGUUUAUUUUAAACUUGUUUCAAAGAGUGACAGGCAAAGCCAACACACAACACAUUAUUGCAGUGUACUGUUUUAUUCUCCCUUAAAUGAUAAGCAUUCUGGGGUGUUAUGCAAAAAGCAAGCAGCAGUAAUUGAUGAGCUGUAAAACUGGUUAGGUCAUACCGCCCAGAAGAUACUGACUCUUGCCGGUCACCUUUCAGAUACAAACCAUUUAAAUUUAGUUUAAUCACACUGAAACUAUUUCCAAGACACUCUUUCCCAGAUUAAUAAAUAAUGCUGAUAUUUAGUCAAGCAGUACAUUUACUGUAAAUGUUAAUGUUUUUAGGGUAUGUGAUUUUAAAAAGUAGACAGAAUCCUACUGAUCGUCUUUUAAGUACCAUGUUAUUCCAACAUCGGCAUGCCUAAACAUUAUUGUAUAGACAGAAACAUUAUUUUCAAUACAUAGAUCUUUCUUCUACUAAAUAAUACAGUCAUGACAAAUUCAUACAAAUCAUCACACUUCUCAAAAUACUAGCACAUAAAGUGUCAUAUUUGAUCUUUACCACUUUGCAAAAUAUCAGAAAUAGAAUAUUUCUUCUGAGAGGUAAUCUCCCUAUGAGCCUCAAUUUUAUUAGGUGUCUUCAAGAUUUUAAAUUAGUGGUAAAGUAAGACAAGAAAACUACACCCAACUGCCUGAUUCUAUUAGCUCAAUGAAAUUGACAUCUGUAAAAUGAUAUGAAAUUUCUUAUGUUUGACAAACAUAUUAACA
Homo sapiens (human) is the source of this 2215-nucleotide long non-coding RNA. RefSeq annotates it as PPP1R12A antisense RNA 2. The transcript has 7 exons. The record is from RefSeq and is marked validated. NCBI's taxonomy places the organism in Eukaryota, Metazoa, Chordata, Mammalia, Primates, Hominidae.